Molecule: long non-coding RNA, 1545 nt
Organism: Pseudophryne corroboree (corroboree frog)
Lineage: Eukaryota; Metazoa; Chordata; Amphibia; Anura; Myobatrachidae
Exons: 4
Source: RefSeq, a predicted model, not a curated record
ACGCCCCCCGACUUUGCCAGUUCUCCCCGCGGUCUGUCUGUGGAUCUGCCUGCUCUUUGGGAAACUGGCUCCUGUGAUCAGAGCUGGAGACUGUCCAUCAGAGCCUCUGUGAGGGAGCUGUGUUACACAGGAUAGGAUCUCUGACAGGACUGGAUACUUACACAGAAAAUCGUGAUGACAAAAUGGCUGCCUCCACUGCCUCCAAGACUCAGUGCAUUCCCCCUGUGUUUUAAAAAUGACCGGAGCUAAUUGGCUGGUGAUACGCCCGGAUUGGAGGGCUUAGCUCUACGAUCCUUGGCACCUUCCACCCUUCGAGGGUACAGAAACGCUAUGGGAGAGUGGGAGAGAUAUGUCCGUUUACAUCAGGACCAAGAUUUGCGCUUGGACGAGUGUCCGAUAUGGAUUAUUGGGCACUCAUAUGUUUACUAUGGUGAGAGGUCUGGUGUGGAGUGCCUUCAGUCCCUUGAAGCUAAUCUUAUCAGAUGGAUCGUGUGAGGGGACUUCGCUGGGAGCAAGUCAUGCCCCUAUUUUGGCAACAGUCGGAGAGGUCGGGAUACCCGCUGAGGGUGGUGUUCCAUGCUGCUGGAAAUGAUUUGACCAGAAGUACGGGUCUCGAUCUUCGCAAAACUAUAGUCAGGGACUUAGUUAGCUUGCAGAACAGGUUGUGUUUUCUGAGUGUGGGAUGGUCGGACAUUAUCCCACGUUUGGUUUGGAGAGAUGCGGACAGACCGGCUGCCAUAGAGUUGGUCCGGCGCCGGAUCAAUUCUGUGGUGGACAGGGCUGUUAGUGAAAAGUGGGGGUUUGUGGUCCCACAUCCCUCAAUUAUAGUUUUUGCCCCUCAUCCUUACAUGGCCGAUGGUGUCCAUCUGAAUUUGAUGGGUAUGAAAUUUUUUAUGGAGGAUCUGUAUGUAGUCAGGAAUUUUAUUGAUAGGUAGAAGGAGUUUAGGAGUAGAAGAGGAGUUUUAAGGUAGAGGUAUGGUGGCGGGGGUUUCGUUGAAACUGUGGUGGGUUGGGAUGGCCUGAAAUUGUGGCUGUAAUUUAAAGAGUUUUAUAGGUGCUCAGGAGAUGUGAAGGUGGUGGAGUUUGAUACAUUACGGGGCCGGAGUUCCAUCGGACCAGGUGGGCUUCGGUCUCCGGUGGAGUUGGUACACACCUGAGCACCUUUUGGUUUGGAGUUGGGGAAUACCUUGAGUGGAGAGUUGGCCACGGUAUUCCCGGAAAAGAGCAAGUAACACAAGGGGUGGCAAAUGGCCCAUUAUGGCCCCUUGUGAUGUGUGGGGGGCUGGUCUGAAAUUGGGCCCUUUAAAGCCUCCCCUUGUGAUGUGAUGGGGGCUGGGCUGAAAUUGGGCCCUUUAAAGCCUCCCCUUGUGAUGCAAUGAAAGCCGGGCUGAAGUUGGGCCCUUGCCUCCUCUUGUGUUUUGGUCAGCCACAGUAAAAAGGUUUUAAAAGGUUAGAAUAAAUAGGGACUUUAUUUAAAUAGGCCGUCCCUCCUUGCCACCAUACCAUUUGUUUAAUAAAAGCUGACAAUGUUAUUGGCAAACAUUA